This is a long non-coding RNA of Pezoporus flaviventris, 825 nucleotides long. RefSeq lists it as uncharacterized. Lineage: Eukaryota; Metazoa; Chordata; Aves; Psittaciformes; Psittacidae. The record is from RefSeq and is a predicted model, not a curated record. The transcript is spliced from 3 exons.
UUUUUUAAUUGUAUUUUUUUUUUUUCAGUAAUAUUAUGGGCUCUAUUCCUGAGAACAAAGCAAAAAAUGAAACUGUUCAGUAACAGGUGUAAUGCAGAUGGAACCUACUUUGGGAAAAGAAAAAUGAUCCUGUAUUUCACAGCUAAGCAUAAAUUUUCUGCUUUUUCAGUACCAUGCCAAGUCUUUACUCUUUGAAGAUGUCAUUAAAACCACCUCAAAGUACCUUUGCCUCACACAACGUUAUUUUUGGGAAUUGUUUAAAGUUUGGAAAUGCAGAUGAAUCUGAAUGACACACAAGCAAAAUCUGUCUGCAUUUAUAUGACAGGUGAAGUCAAAAGGAGAAAACAGUUUUGUUACUUGUGCAGAAGACCAUUCAAAAAAAGCCUUCAACACUGCUAGAAAUACUCAUGGCUUCAUUCUGAUCACAUCUACAUAACUUAAUACUUCUGUAGCUGCUACUUUUUGUUUUCUGAUUGUGUUACAGUUGCGCAACAAAACUGAAAAGAGGAAAGUAACAUUUGGGACGAAUUUCACAUCAUUAAGUUGAAGUGUAUCAUUUCCUUAAAAAAGUUAACAUGGCAAGAGAUUUAAAAUGUGUGUUAAUUAAUAGAUACAAAUUACUGUAAUCACAUCGAGAUAUAAAUUACUGUAAUCAUGUCCACUUAAAUCUUUCAGUGAUUAUAAUGCCAUCAUUUCAGUGUCAUGUUUCUAAAGAUAUUAAUUCUUUGUUGAGAGUAGUUUUUGAAUUGGUGUAACUGUAUAUCUGAAAGCCCAUUGCUCCUGAGAGACACAGAUUUCACUUUCAGUGGUGGAAAACAUUCAUAA